Molecule: transfer RNA, 69 nt
Filed under: Ictidomys tridecemlineatus (thirteen-lined ground squirrel)
Lineage: Eukaryota; Metazoa; Chordata; Mammalia; Rodentia; Sciuridae
Description: Spermophilus tridecemlineatus (thirteen-lined ground squirrel) tRNA
Rfam family: tRNA
About the family: Transfer RNA (tRNA) molecules are approximately 80 nucleotides in length.
Source: Rfam by way of RNAcentral
GGGGUUGUGGCUCAGUGGUAGAGUGCUUGCCUAGCAUGUAUGAGACACUGGGUUCCAUUCUCAGCACCA